RNAcentral lists this ribosomal RNA (499 nucleotides) under uncultured Hyphomicrobiales bacterium. Its description in RNAcentral is "bacterial SSU rRNA". It matches the Rfam family "Bacterial small subunit ribosomal RNA", at positions 189 to 708 of the family's 1533-position model. The record is from RNAcentral. Lineage: Bacteria; Pseudomonadati; Pseudomonadota; Alphaproteobacteria; Hyphomicrobiales.
ACGCCCUACGGGGGAAAAAUUUAUUGCUAUUAGAUGAGCCUAUAUUAGAUUAGUUAGUUGGUGAGGUAAAGGCUUACCAAGACAAUGAUCUAUAGCUGAUCUGAGAGGAUGAUCAGCCACACUGGAACUGAGAUACGGUCCAGACUCCUACGGGAGGCAGCAGUGGGGAAUAUUGGACAAUGGGCGAAAGCCUGAUCCAGCCAUGCCGCAUGAGUGAAGAAGGCCUUCGGGUUGUAAAGCUCUUUUAGUGAGGAAGAUAAUGACGGUACUCACAGAAGAAGUCCUGGCUAACUCCGUGCCAGCAGCCGCGGUAAUACGGAGAGGGCUAGCGUUAUUCGGAAUCAUUGGGCGUAAAGGGCGCGUANGCGGGUUAGUAAGUUAAAAGUGAAAUCCCAAGGCUCAACCUUGGAACUGCUUUUAAAACUGCUAGUCUAGAGAUUGAAAGAGGAUAGAGGAAUUCCUAGUGUAGAGAUGAAANUCGUAAAUAUUANGAGGAACA